GUGAGUUUUGCGAAUGGCAAGGACGCAGAGGACUUAAAAUCCUGCGGUGGGUGACCACCGUACGGGUUCGAUUCCCGUCCUUGGCA
RNAcentral lists this transfer RNA (86 nucleotides) under Paenibacillus pinisoli. RNAcentral describes it as "tRNA-Leu". Lineage: Bacteria; Bacillati; Bacillota; Bacilli; Caryophanales; Paenibacillaceae. The record is from RNAcentral.